UACGGGGGGGGCGAGCGUUGUUCGGAAUUACUGGGCGUAAAGGGUUUGUAGGUGGCCUGCUAAGUCAGACGUGAAAUCCCUCAGCUUAACUGGGGAACUGCGUCUGAUACUGGCGGGCUUGAGGACAGGAGAGGAACGCGGAAUUCCAGGUGUAGCGGUGAAAUGCGUAGAUAUCUGGAGGAACACCGGUGGCGAAGGCGGCGUUCUGGACUGUUUCUGACACUGAAAAACGAAAGCCAGGGGAGCAAGCGGG
RNAcentral lists this ribosomal RNA (253 nucleotides) under uncultured bacterium. RNAcentral describes it as "partial 16S ribosomal RNA". It matches the Rfam family "Bacterial small subunit ribosomal RNA", at positions 524 to 776 of the family's 1533-position model. The record is from RNAcentral.